Molecule: ribosomal RNA, 1344 nt
Filed under: Siphanta acuta
Lineage: Eukaryota; Metazoa; Arthropoda; Insecta; Hemiptera; Flatidae
Description: SSU rRNA
Rfam family: Eukaryotic small subunit ribosomal RNA
Source: RNAcentral
CGCGGUAAUUCCAGCUCCAAUAGCGUAUAUUAAAGUUGUUGCGGUUAAAAAGCUCGUAGUUGGAUCUGUGUCCCGCACCGUCUGUUCACCGCCUGUCGGUGUUCAACUGGCGUGUAUGCGGGACGUCCUGCCGGUGGCGGUCCGGUUCCCCGUUGGCACGUAGGGGUCGUCCCCGCUCGCGCGUCGUCCCCGAAGGCCUUCGCGGUGUAUCCGGCCGCCUUUUCGAUCCCGUCGCGGUGCUCUUCACCGAGUGUCGAGGCGGGCCGGCACGUUUACUUUGAACAAAUUAGAGUGCUUUAAGCAGGCCCUGUCCCGCCUGUAUGUUGUGUGCAUGGAAUAAUGGAAUAGGACCUCGGUUCUAUUUUGUUGGUUUUCGGAAUCUGAGGUAAUGAUCAAUGGGGACAGGCGGGGGCAUUCGUAUUGCGACGUUAGAGGUGAAAUUCUUGGAUCGUCGCAAGACGGACCGAAGCGAAAGCAUUUGCCAAGUAUGUUCUCGUGAUCAAGAACGAAAGUUAGAGGUUCGAAGGCGAUCAGAUACCGCCCUAGUUCUAACCAUAAACUAUGCCUGCCAGCGAUCCGCCGAAGUUCCUCCGAUGACUCGGCGGGCAGCUUCCGGGAAACCAGAGCUUUUGGGUUCCGGGGGAAGUAUGGUUGCAAAGCUGAAACUUAAAGGAAUUGACGGAAGGGCACCACCAGGAGUGGAGCCUGCGGCUUAAUUUGACUCAACACGGGAAAACUCACCAGGCCCGGACACCGGAAGGAUUGACAGAUUGAGAGCUCUUUCUUGAUUCGGUGGGUGGUGGUGCAUGGCCGUUCUUAGUUGGUGGACCGAUUUGUCUGGUUAAUUCCGAUAACGAACGAGACUCUAGCCUACUAACUAGGCGUACCCGGUAUCCACAAUCGUGCUACCGGCGAUUAAAUUUCUUCUUAGAGGGACAGGCGGCAUCUAGCCGACCGAGACUGAGCAAUAACAGGUCUGUGAUGCCCUUAGAUGUCCUGGGCCGCACGCGCGCUACACUGAAGGAAUCAGCGUGUCUUCCCUGUCCGAAAGGCCCGGGUAACCCGCUGAACCUCCUUUGUGCUAGGGAUUGGGGCUUGCAAUUGUUCCCCAUGAACGAGGAAUUCCCAGUAAGCGCGAGUCAUAAGCUCGCGUUGAUUACGUCCCUGCCCUUUGUACACACCGCCCGUCGCUACUACCGAUUGAAUGAUUUAGUGAGGUCUUCGGACUGGUGCGCCGGAAGGCGCAUCCGCCGUCUCCGAUGUUGCUGGAAAGAUGACCAAACUUGAUCAUUUAGAGGAAGUAAAAGUCGUAACAAGGUUUCCGUAGGUGAACCUGCGGAAGGA